This 430-nucleotide ribosomal RNA is filed under the name uncultured bacterium. RNAcentral's name for it is "bacterial SSU rRNA". It matches the Rfam family "Bacterial small subunit ribosomal RNA", at positions 355 to 776 of the family's 1533-position model. The record is from RNAcentral.
UAGGGAAUCUUCGGCAAUGGACGAAAGUCUGACCGAGCAACGCCGCGUGAGUGAAGAAGGUUUUCGGAUCGUAAAACUCUGUUGUUAGAGAAGAACAAGGAUGAGAGUAAAACGUUCAUCCCUUGACGGUAUCUAACCAGAAAGCCACGGCUAACUACGUGCCAGCAGCCGCGGUAAUACGUAGGUGGCAAGCGUUGUCCGGAUUUAUUGGGCGUAAAGCGAGCGCAGGCGGUUUCUUAAGUCUGAUGUGAAAGCCCCCGGCUCAACCGGGGAGGGUCAUUGGAAACUGGGAGACUUGAGUGCAGAAGAGGAGAGUGGAAUUCCAUGUGUAGCGGUGAAAUGCGUAGAUAUAUGGAGGAACACCAGUGGCGAAGGCGGCUCUCUGGUCUGUAACUGACGCUGAGGCUCGAAAGCGUGGGGAGCGAACAGG